Molecule: long non-coding RNA, 953 nt
Organism: Oncorhynchus keta (chum salmon)
Lineage: Eukaryota; Metazoa; Chordata; Actinopteri; Salmoniformes; Salmonidae
Exons: 2
Source: RefSeq, a predicted model, not a curated record
CCAGCUUCAGAUCCAAUUGACAGGCUUUCGGGGUCCAGCUUCAGGUCCAACUGACAGGCUUUCGGGCUUCAGAUCCAACUGACAGGCUUUCGUGGUCCAGAUCCAACUGACAGGCUUUCAGGGUCCAGCUCCAACUGACAGGCUUUCGGGGUCCAGCUCCAACUGACAUGCUUUCGGGGUCCAGCUCCAACUGACAGGCUUUCGGGGUCCAGCUCCAACUGACAGGCUUUCGGGGUCCAGCUCCAACUGACAGGCUUUCAGGGUCCAGCUCCAACUGACAGGUUGAAUACCAUGUGCCUUUUUGUUGUUGUUGACGAUUCUAUCAGCCAAUCAGGGCCUGUAUCCACAAAUCAUCUCAGAAAAGGUCCUAGGAAUCCUGUUAAACCUUGUUUUAAGAAGAAGAAGAAGAAUUCACCUCAGAGUUGGUUAUAGGAUGAAGUUAAGACACUGCUCAGACAAACUGAGCCAGGAGUAAAAUCAACUCUUAAAAGUUUAUAUCAGCUGAUAAUCACGACAGUUUGAGGUAACGCAAAGGAAAGCUAGUGACGCUCAGACAUUGUUGCAAAUGAUGGGGAAUAACCAAUCGCGAUGAGGCAUCGCCAGCUGUGAACAUUACAUCAUGCUUCAGACAACUACGGUGAACGUGACUACAUCAAAUAUUGCAAUGGUAAAACUUUUGAUAUAAUUUUCACCUGACACGAUCACUUUGCCUACUCUUAAUUCUUGCCUAAUAUGAUGACAUAUCUGUGAUAAUGCCUUAAAUCAUCUUUACUUGACAGGAAGUAGUGAAGCUGUGUGUAAUGUAAUGUUAACCCUUUUUUUACCAAGUAUUCUAAAAUCCAUUUAAUCAAAGUGAGGGUAUCAGAUUUACAGAAAAUGUAAAGUGUUACCAUAGUGAGACGUUUUUCUACGUGAUCAUGUAUUGUUUUGUGCAAUAAAAGUACUGUACUUUA